CCACACCAGCCACAGCCCCUUUUGCAUUUCCUAGAACCUGUAAAGUCAAAGCACUGGUGUGUUUUGUGACCAAAAAAUUGGUCAAAUUUACAAAAUAUGCUAGCGCUGAGUUGAAUAGUAGGUACCAAACAAUCUUGAUAUCGUCUCUGGCAAGAGCCAGUGUAAUACCAACCACAUUGUCUUCCAUGAUAAGAGUUGCCGGAAGUAAAAAGACAACAGCUAUAGGAGCCAUGUAUAGAAGAAGGUUCAUAGAAUUCAGCUUCUCCCCCUCGGAAGAUAGCAAAAUCCCUUGUAGCACUGAUUUGAGUGCCCUUGCAGCUGUAGCAGAAAUGCACAUUAUAAACCCAAAUAGAUGAAAACUUGGUUCACCCCCACUGGCAAUAAUUACUCCAGUAACGACUGGAAUCAAGGUGACAUAAGUAAGCCAAGCCUCUCUCUUAAGGGUCAUCAAAUAAGCGAAAACAGCAGUAAAAAACGGUGUCGUAGCACCUACAGCCUGAUUGAAAGAGACGGGAAGGAACCUCAAAGAAAUGUUACCAAACACGACCGAUACACAAAAGACGAGACUCAAGGCGGAGAUCUUGAGGAAUUGAAGGCGAGAACGAAUUGUCUGCAUAGGGACCAUCUUCAUCCAUGCAAUGGCUAUAUAGCUAAGCAAACUACAAGCAGUCAUAUGACACAUGGUAAGGAAGAUCGGGUACUUGAAUCCGUAAUUGCUUAGCAAAUACUUGUUCAGCAACAGAACCCCAAUAUUCGAGGAGUACCAGGCGGUCACUAGACCGAUCGUGAAGAACCGGGACGUGGUCUUCAUGGAGGAAUUUGAUCAAGAAGAGCCGGUGGGAUGUAUGUUUUCUGAGCGGACGGCAGCGAAUUGAGGCGCUGGAAGAGAUUAGGUGAGCUGAGGUGAACUGCGUUGGUACGGAUCUGGAAACAGAGAGGAAUUAACAGAGAUUAGAGGGUCUCUCCCUCCCAUGGAUCUGUGACAUAGAUAAAAGAAUUUGAAAGAGAGAGGAAAAGUUGGAGGGAAAAGGAGAUGGAAAA
This 1041-nucleotide unclassified non-coding RNA is filed under the name Hevea brasiliensis (rubber tree). Lineage: Eukaryota; Viridiplantae; Streptophyta; Magnoliopsida; Malpighiales; Euphorbiaceae. The record is from RNAcentral.